This 253-nucleotide ribosomal RNA is filed under the name uncultured bacterium. RNAcentral describes it as "partial 16S ribosomal RNA". It matches the Rfam family "Bacterial small subunit ribosomal RNA", at positions 524 to 776 of the family's 1533-position model. The record is from RNAcentral.
UACAGAGGUCUCAAGCGUUGUUCGGAUUCAUUGGGCGUAAAGGGUGCGUAGGCGGCGCGGCAAGUCGGAUGUGAAAUCUCGGAGCUUAACUUCGAAACUGCAUUCGAUACUGCCGUGCUUGAGGACUGGAGAGGAGACUGGAAUUUACGGUGUAGCGGUGAAAUGCGUAGAUAUCGUAAGGAAGACCAGUGGCGAAGGCGGGUCUCUGGGCCGAAACUGACGCUGAGGAGCGAAAGCGUGGGGAGCAAACAGG